CUCGUCCACUAGGGCCACCUAGGGGUUUAAAGCCUUAUUGCAUACGGUAAAUGCAAUAACGAUUCCUGCGAAAGUGAGUUAGUUUUUAUUUUGCUCGAGGACUAGCAGAAUGUAGGUUAGGGGGUGUGAUAAGUGCUAAAUAAUGCAUAAAUUAAUAUCUUAUUUAUAGCACUUAUCAUUAUUUUAAUUCAUAUAUUUUGUAAAUUUAACUAAAAAAAUGUGUUACCUUCAUCAUUGCAUUUUAAUAAAUUAUUAAAGGUAAUUCGAGUUUUACUUAUUUAUUUACUGAUUGAGUCUAAUGUAUGCAGGUCGAGUCAAACUCAUUUGGGAUGAUCCCUGAACCCAAAUCGCAUGCACCCUGCGAUUCAAAUCCUCUCA
RNAcentral lists this long non-coding RNA (378 nucleotides) under Phoenix dactylifera (date palm). RNAcentral describes it as "long non-coding RNA (PDAC_LNC013439)". Lineage: Eukaryota; Viridiplantae; Streptophyta; Magnoliopsida; Arecales; Arecaceae. The record is from RNAcentral.